CGAUUAACCAAAGGGUUAGGUCCUAGCCUUGAGUCAGUUAUUACUUAAUAUACACAUGCAAGUAUCCGCCCCCCUGUGAAAACGCCCUUUAAUCCCCUCUAGGGACAAGGAGCUGGUAUCAGGCACGAAAAUCUGCCCAAGACACCUAGCUAUGCCACACCCACAAGGGAAUUCAGCAGUGAUUAACAUUGAGCAUUAGCGCAAGCUUGACUCAGUUAAAGUAAGAUAGAGCCGGCUAAUCUGGUGCCAGCCGCCGCGGUUACACCAUGUGGCUCAAAUUGACCCCUUCCGGCGUAAAGCGUGAUUAAAGUUAUCUAUUAAUAGAGUUAAACUGAAACUAAGCUGUGACACGCCUGUUUAUCAAGAAACCCAAAAACGAAAGUUACUCUAACUUAAUCAACUUGACUUCACGACAGCUGGAAAACAAACUGGGAUUAGAUACCCCACUAUAAA
This 453-nucleotide ribosomal RNA is filed under the name Bufotes viridis (European green toad). RNAcentral's name for it is "partial 12S ribosomal RNA". It matches the Rfam family "Bacterial small subunit ribosomal RNA", at positions 7 to 796 of the family's 1533-position model. The record is from RNAcentral. Lineage: Eukaryota; Metazoa; Chordata; Amphibia; Anura; Bufonidae.